ACAGUGCGUGGCCGAAUGGUUACGCUGUCCGCUUUGUACGCGGAUGAUUCUGGGUUCGAUUCCCAUCUGCUGCA
Molecule: transfer RNA, 74 nt
Filed under: Culex quinquefasciatus (southern house mosquito)
Lineage: Eukaryota; Metazoa; Arthropoda; Insecta; Diptera; Culicidae
Description: tRNA-Thr
Source: RNAcentral